RNAcentral lists this long non-coding RNA (504 nucleotides) under Capsella rubella. Its description in RNAcentral is "long non-coding RNA (CRUB_LNC001618)". The record is from RNAcentral. Lineage: Eukaryota; Viridiplantae; Streptophyta; Magnoliopsida; Brassicales; Brassicaceae.
UUCACUAUAGAUAUCAUCAUAUUCUAAGUUUAUCAAGAAAUACCUUACACAUUAAGGGUCACUUUCUCAUUGCAAACAACAUAUAAUUAGAAAAGCUAAGAAACAAAUGUUUUCAAAAAUCUUUAUGCAUGUACAUGUGGUAUAUGUACCUCAAUUAAUUAAAAUCAUGUGUACAACUAAAAAUAUUUCUUUUAAACAUUGUAUAACUAAUUAGAACAAAAAAAUAAAAAAGUACAACUUGCCAAAACGAGUACAACUUGUAACUUUGGUACAACUAGUGCAUUUUGGCGGCUACACAUGUGUCUUUUGGCGGCUACACGUGUCUAAUGUGGAUCACGUGUUUGUUGUUUGAUCCUUUUAUUUUUUAUUUUUAUUUUUCCUACACUUAAGAAUUUUUAAAAAAUUCAAUUUCAAAUUGAAAUUGAAAGAGGGAAUCGGGAAUCGGGUAUAGCUAGGGUUUAUUGUCCUUUUACUCUCUUCACUUCUUCUCCUUCUUUCUUUCUG